This 118-nucleotide ribosomal RNA is filed under the name Octodon degus (degu). The record is from RNAcentral. Lineage: Eukaryota; Metazoa; Chordata; Mammalia; Rodentia; Octodontidae.
AUCUAUGGCCAUACCACCCUGAACAUGUCCAGUCUCGUCUGAUCUCAGAAGCUAAGCAGGGUCAGGCCUGGCUAGUACCUGGAUGGGAGAAAGCUAUUGAUAUAAGGCAACAUAAUUU